CAAGUGAAAAUUAUCUUGGUAAGAUUUCUUGAAAUAAGAUUUUUCAGAUCUAUUGUGUAAAAAAAAGUUCUUAUAUCUCACUCAAAAGUUAGUCUUUGGGUGAUUAUGUCUUAUUUAAAGUGUGAUGACAUAUUUUGACUCGAAAUGAG
Long non-coding RNA from Sphaeramia orbicularis (orbiculate cardinalfish), 149 nucleotides. RefSeq lists it as uncharacterized. The transcript has 2 exons. The record is from RefSeq and is a predicted model, not a curated record. NCBI's taxonomy places the organism in Eukaryota, Metazoa, Chordata, Actinopteri, Kurtiformes, Apogonidae.